GUAAAUAAUUAAGGGCGUAUGGUGGAUGCCUAGGCUCUCAGAGGCGAAGAAGGACGUGAUAAGCUGCGAAAAGCUCCGUUUAGGUGCAAAUAACCUUUGAUGCGGAGAUCUCCGAAUGGGAUAACCCAAUAUGUUGAAGACAUAUUAUACCGUAAGGUAGGCAAACGCAGGGAACUGAAACAUCUAAGUACCUGCAGGAGAAGAAAACAAACGUGAUUCCCCCAGUAGCGGCGAGCGACCGGGGAUAAGCCCAAACCGUUAUUGUUUCGGCAGUAGCGGGGUAGUAGGACUGCGACAUUGAUGAAAUAAAUGAAAUGGAACACCUUGGAAAAUGUGAUCACAGAGGGUGAUAAUCCCGUACAUGCAAGUUUAUGAAUCAUAGCAGUAUCCUGAGUAAGUCGGGACACGUGUAAUCCUGACCGAAUCCGCCGGGACCAUCCGGCAAGGCUAAAUACUCCUGAGAGACCGAUAGUGAACCAGUACCGUGAGGGAAAGGUGAAAAGCACUUCGAACAGAAGAGUGAAAUAGUCCCUGAACCCAUACGCCUACAAGCAGUCGGAGCCGCUUCGUGCGGUGACGGCGUGCCUUUUGCAUAAUGAGCCUACGAGUUACUCAUCACCAGCGAGGUUAAGUACUUCAGGUACGUAAGCCGAAGCGAAAGCGAGUCUGAAUAGGGCGUCAAGUUGGUGGUGGUAGACGCGAAACCUUAGUGAUCUACCCAUGGGCAGGGUGAAGGUUUGGUAACACAAACUGGAGGCCCGAACCGGUAAACGUUGAAAAGUUUUCGGAUGACCUGUGGGUAGGGGUGAAAGGCCAAUCAAACUGGGAAAUAGCUCGUACUCUCCGAAAUGCAUUUAGGUGCAGCCUCUGUUGUUUUGUUCUAGAGGUAGAGCUACUGAUUGGAUGCGAGGGCUUCACCGCCUAUCAAAUCCGGCCAAACUCCGAAUGCUAGAACAUGAAGACAGGGAGUGAGCCAGCGGGUGCUAAGGUCCGUUGACGAAAGAGGGAGAACUCAGACCAUCAGCUAAGGUCCCCAAUUAUAUGCUAAGUUGGAAUUAAAACGGGGUGGGACUGCUUAGACAGCUAGGAUGUUGGCUUGGAAGCAGCCAUUCAUUUAAAGAGUGCGUAACAGCUCACUAGUCGAGCGGUCCUGCAUGGAUAAUACGCGGGCAUAAGCAUAUAACCGAAGCUAUGGGAUUGUAGAUGAUACAAUCGGUAGGAGAGCAUUCCAUUCAGCGUAGAAGCAGUAUCGUGAGGUAUUGUGGAGCGGAUGGAAAAGCAAAUGUAGGCAUAAGUAACGAUAAUGCGGGUGAGAACCCCGCACGCCGAAAGAUCAAGGAUUCCCCGGCAAUGUCAAUCAUCCGGGGGUAAGUCGGAUCCUAAGGGUAAGCCGAGUGGCGAUCCCGAUGGCAAACAGGUUAAUAUUCCUGUACUGAUCAUAACUGCGAUGCAGCGACGCAGAGGUGACACUGCUGCGUACUGACGGAAUAGUACGUUGAAACCCGUAUUCUUUGAUACCGGUAGUGAAGCACGCCGGUAGAGAUGAAAGGUGAUAGUACCGCAAUGCUUCGGUUGCGCGGAUAAUGCAGGUAAGCUGACUGCCAAGAAAACCUGCUAAGCUUCAGGUAAUGAUCAUCCGUACUGUAAACGGACACACGUGAUCAGGUAGAAAAUACUAAGGCGCUCGAGAGAUUCAUGGUUAAGGAACUAGGCAAAAUGGUCCUGUAACUUCGGGAUAAAGGACGCUCUUGUGAAAGAGCCGCAGAUAAUAGGCCCAGGCGACUGUUUACCAAAAACACAUGGCUAUGCUAAUUCGCAAGAAGAUGUAUAUGGCCUGACACCUGCCCGGUGCCGGAAGGUUAAGAGGAGAGCUCAGAGGUAACUCGAAGGUUUGAAUUGAAGCCCCGGUAAACGGCGGCCGUAACUAUAACGGUCCUAAGGUAGCGAAAUUCCUUGUCGGGU
This 1962-nucleotide ribosomal RNA is filed under the name human gut metagenome. Its description in RNAcentral is "bacterial LSU rRNA". It matches the Rfam family "Bacterial large subunit ribosomal RNA", at positions 1 to 1977 of the family's 2925-position model. The record is from RNAcentral.